GAUGAACGCUAGCGGGAGGCCUAACACAUGCAAGCCGAGCGGUAUUUGUUCUUCGGAACAGAGAGAGCGGCGCACGGGUGCGGAACACGUGUGCAACCUGCCUUUAUCUGGGGGAUAGCCUUUCGAAAGGAAGAUUAAUACCCCAUAAUAUAUUGAGUGGCAUCAUUUGAUAUUGAAAACUCCGGUGGAUAGAGAUGGGCACGCGCAAGAUUAGAUAGUUGGUGAGGUAACGGCUCACCAAGUCAAUGAUCUUUAGGGGGCCUGAGAGGGUGAUCCCCCACACUGGUACUGAGACACGGACCAGACUCCUACGGGAGGCAGCAGUGAGGAAUAUUGGACAAUGGGUUAGAGCCUGAUCCAGCCAUCCCGCGUGAAGGACGACGGCCCUAUGGGUUGUAAACUUCUUUUGUAUAGGGAUAAACCUACUCUCGUGAGAGUAGCUGAAGGUACUAUACGAAUAAGCACCGGCUAACUCCGU
This 478-nucleotide ribosomal RNA is filed under the name uncultured bacterium. RNAcentral describes it as "partial 16S ribosomal RNA". It matches the Rfam family "Bacterial small subunit ribosomal RNA", at positions 28 to 506 of the family's 1533-position model. The record is from RNAcentral.